AAUGGGCGAAAGCCUGAACCAGCCAUGCCGCGUGUGUGAUGAAUGCCUUUGGGUUGUAAAGCACUUUUAUCUGGGAAGAAGGCCGCCAUUUAUGGUGAAGCGACGGUACCAGAAGAAUAAGCACCGGCUAACUCCGUGCCAGCAGCCGCGGUAAUACGGAGGGUGCAAGCGUUAUCCGGAAUCACUGGGUUUAAAGGGUACGUAGGCUGUAAUAUAAGUCAGACGUCAAAGGCUGUGGCUAAACCAUAGUACGCGUUUGAAACUAUAUCACUUGAAUAUGUUCGAGGUGCACGGAAUGCGUCAUGUAGCGGUGAAAUGCAUAGAUAUGACGUAGAACACCAAUUGCGAAGGCAGUGCACUAGGGCAUUAUUGACGCUGAGGUACGAAAGCGUGGGUAGCGAACAGGAUU
This 409-nucleotide ribosomal RNA is filed under the name uncultured Gammaproteobacteria bacterium. RNAcentral's name for it is "bacterial SSU rRNA". It matches the Rfam family "Bacterial small subunit ribosomal RNA", at positions 370 to 779 of the family's 1533-position model. Lineage: Bacteria; Pseudomonadati; Pseudomonadota; Gammaproteobacteria. The record is from RNAcentral.